Molecule: ribosomal RNA, 453 nt
Filed under: uncultured bacterium
Lineage: Bacteria
Description: bacterial SSU rRNA
Rfam family: Bacterial small subunit ribosomal RNA
Source: RNAcentral
UACGGAAGGCAGCAGGGGGAAUAUUGCACAAUGGGCGCAAGCCUGAUGCAGCCAUGCCGCGUGUAUGAAAAAGGCCUUCGGGUUGUAAAGUACUUUCAGUCGUGAGGAAGGUGUUAAGGUUAAUAACCUUAGCAAUUGACGUUAGCGACAGAAGAAGCACCGGCUAACUCCGUGCCAGCAGCCGCGGUAAUACGGAGGGUGCGAGCGUUAAUCGGAAUUACUGGGCGUAAAGGGCACGCAGGCGGUUAAUUAAGUUGGAUGUGAAAUCCCCGGGCUUAACCUGGGAAUGGCAUUCAAGACUGGUUAGCUAGAGUCUUGUAGAGGGGGUAGAAUUCCAUGUGUAGCGGUGAAAUGCGUAGAGAUGUGGAGGAAUACCGGUGGCGAAGGCGGCCCCUGGGACAAAGACUGACGCUCAUGUGCGAAAGCGUGGGGAGCAAACAGGGAUUAGAUACC